CGGAUGUAGCCAAGUG
This 16-nucleotide transfer RNA is filed under the name Pleuropterus multiflorus (tuber fleeceflower). Its description in RNAcentral is "Fallopia multiflora partial tRNA-His". RNAcentral also lists the same sequence under 5 other names. The record is from RNAcentral. Lineage: Eukaryota; Viridiplantae; Streptophyta; Magnoliopsida; Caryophyllales; Polygonaceae.